Small nucleolar RNA from Mastomys coucha (southern multimammate mouse), 132 nucleotides. RefSeq annotates it as small nucleolar RNA SNORA17. Lineage: Eukaryota; Metazoa; Chordata; Mammalia; Rodentia; Muridae. The record is from RefSeq and is a predicted model, not a curated record. The transcript has a single exon.
GCUGCUCCUAGAGGUCUUGCAGGUGUGGCUGGUGUGUCCCAUAUGUAGCAGUAGGUGGUAGAGAGAAGAGAGGCUAUGUCUAUACUCAGAGCUCUGAUCAAUAAAUAUCUGAAUGAUUAGUGGUAUAACAUU